GAUGAACGCUGGCGGCGUGCCUAAUACAUGCAAGUCGAGCGAAAAGAUGCGGUGCUUGCUCCUCUGACGUUAGCGGCGGACGGGUGAGUAACGCGUGGAUAACCUACCUAUAAGACUGGGAUAACUUCGGGAAACCGGAGCUAAUACCGGAUAAUAUAUUGAACCGCAUGGUUCAAUAGUGAAAGACGGUUUUGCUGUCACUUAUAGAUGGUUCCGCGCCGCAUUAGCUAGUUGGUAAGGUAACGGCUUACCAAGGCAACGAUGCGUAGCCGACCUGAGAGGGUGAUCGGCCACACUGGAACUGAGACACGGUCCAGACUCCUACGGGAGGCAGCAGUAGGGAAUCUUCCGCAAUGGGCGAAAGCCUGACGGAGCAACGCCGCGUGAGGGAUGAAGGUCUUCGGAUCGUAAAACUCUGUUAUUAGGGAAGAACAAAUUUGGAAGUAACUAUGCACGUCUUGACGGUACCGAAACAGAAAGCCACGGCUAACUACGUG
RNAcentral lists this ribosomal RNA (497 nucleotides) under uncultured bacterium. Its description in RNAcentral is "partial 16S ribosomal RNA". It matches the Rfam family "Bacterial small subunit ribosomal RNA", at positions 28 to 507 of the family's 1533-position model. The record is from RNAcentral.